AACGAACGCUGGCGGCAUGCCUAACACAUGCGAGUCGAACGAGACCUUCGGGUCUAGUGGCGCACGGGUGCGUAACGCGUGGGAACCUGCCCUUAGGUUCGGAAUAACUCCUCGAAAGGGGUGCUAAUACCGGAUAAUGUCUUCGGACCAAAGAUUUAUCGCCUUUGGAUGGGCCCGCGUUGGAUUAGCUAGUUGGUAGGGUAAAAGCCUACCAAGGCGACGAUCCAUAGCUGGUCUGAGAGGAUGAUCAGCCACACUGGGACUGAGACACGGUCCAGACUCCUACGGGAGGCAGCAGUGGGGAAUAUUGGACAAUGGGCGAAAGCCUGAUCCAGCAAUGCCGCGUGAGUGAUGAAGGCCUUAGGGUUGUAAAGCUCUUUUACCCGGGAUGAUAAUGACAGUACCGGGAGAAUAAGCUCCGGCUAACUCCGUG
RNAcentral lists this ribosomal RNA (433 nucleotides) under uncultured bacterium. Its description in RNAcentral is "partial 16S ribosomal RNA". It matches the Rfam family "Bacterial small subunit ribosomal RNA", at positions 29 to 507 of the family's 1533-position model. The record is from RNAcentral.